RNAcentral lists this ribosomal RNA (253 nucleotides) under uncultured bacterium. RNAcentral describes it as "partial 16S ribosomal RNA". It matches the Rfam family "Bacterial small subunit ribosomal RNA", at positions 524 to 776 of the family's 1533-position model. The record is from RNAcentral.
GACGUAGGGCGCGAGCGUUGUCCGGAUUUAUUGGGCGUAAAGAGCUCGUAGGCGGUCUGUUGCGUCGGCUGUGAAAACCCGGGGCUCAACUCCGGGCCCGCAGCCGAUACGGGCAGACUAGAGUUCGGCAGGGGAGACUGGAAUUCCUGGUGUAGCGGUGAAAUGCGCAGAUAUCAGGAGGAACACCGGUGGCGAAGGCGGGUCUCUGGGCCGAUACUGACGCUGAGGAGCGAAAGCGUGGGGAGCGAACAGG